RNAcentral lists this ribosomal RNA (459 nucleotides) under uncultured bacterium. RNAcentral describes it as "SSU rRNA". It matches the Rfam family "Bacterial small subunit ribosomal RNA", at positions 26 to 518 of the family's 1533-position model. The record is from RNAcentral.
AGAGCGAACGCUGGCGGCAGGCCUAAUACAUGCAAGUCGAACGGACCCUUCGGGGUUAGUGGCGGACGGGUGAGUAACACGUGGGAACGUGCCCUGUGGUUCGGAACAACUCAGGGAAACUUGAGCUAAUACCGAAUGUGCCCCCAUCCUUAAACAAGAUGGGCGGGAAAGAUUUAUCGCCAUUGGAGCGGCCCGCGUCUGAUUAGCUAGUUGGUGAGGUAAAGGCUCACCAAGGCGACGAUCAGUAGCUGGUCUGAGAGGAUGAUCAGCCACACUGGGACUGAGACACGGCCCAGACUCCUACGGGAGCAGCAGUAGGGAAUCUUGCGCAAUGGGCGAAAGCCUGACGCAGCCAUGCCGCGUGAAUGAUGAAGGUCUUAGGAUUGUAAAUUCUUUCAGCGGGGACGAUAAUGACGGUACCCGCAGAAGAAGCCCGGCUAACUUCGUGCCAGCAGCCGC